RNAcentral lists this non-coding RNA (130 nucleotides) under Mustela putorius furo (domestic ferret). Its description in RNAcentral is "ODC internal ribosome entry site (IRES)". It matches the Rfam family "ODC internal ribosome entry site (IRES)". The record is from Rfam by way of RNAcentral. Lineage: Eukaryota; Metazoa; Chordata; Mammalia; Carnivora; Mustelidae.
AUCUCUGCUGCUGCACCAAGAGCGUGUGCAUCUUCAGUGGGCCUUGGAAUCCCUGGGAAUUGCCUUUGUGAGAUGCUAGACAUAAUUUGUUAAAUUCCAUCUCAGUUUUCCAUGGGACCAUCAAGAGACC